GAUGAACGCUGGCGGCGUGCCUAAUACAUGCAAGUCGAGCGAACAGACGAGGAGCUUGCUCCUCUGACGUUAGCGGCGGACGGGUGAGUAACACGUGGAUAACCUACCUAUAAGACUGGGAUAACUUCGGGAAACCGGAGCUAAUACCGGAUAAUAUAUUGAACCGCAUGGUUCAAUAGUGAAAGACGGUUUUGCUGUCACUUAUAGAUGGAUCCGCGCCGCAUUAGCUAGUUGGUAAGGUAAUGGCUUACCAAGGCAACGAUGCGUAGCCGACCUGAGAGGGUGAUCGGCCACACUGGAACUGAGACACGGUCCAGACUCCUACGGGAGGCAGCAGUAGGGAAUCUUCCGCAAUGAGCGAAAGCUUGACGGAGCAACGCCGCGUGAGUGAUGAAGGUCUUCGGAUCGUAAAACUCUGUUAUUAGGGAAGAACAAAUGUGUAAGUAACUAUGCACGUCUUGACGGUACCUGAUCAGAAAGCCACGGCUAACUACGUG
This 497-nucleotide ribosomal RNA is filed under the name uncultured bacterium. RNAcentral describes it as "partial 16S ribosomal RNA". It matches the Rfam family "Bacterial small subunit ribosomal RNA", at positions 28 to 507 of the family's 1533-position model. The record is from RNAcentral.